This 331-nucleotide unclassified non-coding RNA is filed under the name soil metagenome. RNAcentral's name for it is "partial contains 5.8S ribosomal RNA, internal transcribed spacer 2, and large subunit ribosomal RNA". The stretch from base 1 to 120 matches the Rfam family "5.8S ribosomal RNA", at positions 35 to 154 of the family's 154-position model. The record is from RNAcentral.
GAUGAAGAACGUAGCGAAAUGCGAUAAGUAAUGUGAAUUGCAGAAUUCAGUGAAUCAUCGAAUCUUUGAACGCACAUUGCGCCCCCUGGUAUUCCGGGGGGCAUGCCUGUUCGAGCGUCAUUUCAACCUUCAAGCCUCGCUUGGUAUUGGGCAACGCGGUCCGCCGCGUGCCUCAAAUCGACCGGCUGGGUCUUCUGUCCCCUAAGCGUUGUGGAAACUAUUCGCUAAAGGGUGUUCGGGAGGCUACGCCGUAAAACAACCCCAUUUCUAAGGUUGACCUCGGAUCAGGUAGGGAUACCCGCUGAACUUAAGCAUAUCAAUAAGCGGAGGA